CGGGUGAGUAUACAUCGGAACGUGCCCUGUAGUGGGGGAUAACUAGUCGAAAGAUUAGCUAAUACCGCAUACGACCUGAGGGUGAAAGUGGGGGACCGCAAGGCCUCAUGCUAUAGGAGCGGCCGAUGUCUGAUUAGCUAGUUGGUGAGGUAAAGGCUCACCAAGGCGACGAUCAGUAGCUGGUCUGAGAGGACGAUCAGCCACACUGGGACUGAGACACGGCCCAGACUCCUACGGGAGGCAGCAGUGGGGAAUUUUGGACAAUGGGCGAAAGCCUGAUCCAGCAAUGCCGCGUGUGUGAAGAAGGCCUUCGGGUUGUAAAGCACUUUUGUCCGGAAAGAAAUGGCUCUGGUUAAUACCUGGGGUCGAUGACGGUACCGGAAGAAUAAGGACCGGCUAACUACGUGCCAGC
RNAcentral lists this ribosomal RNA (412 nucleotides) under uncultured Ralstonia sp. Its description in RNAcentral is "bacterial SSU rRNA". It matches the Rfam family "Bacterial small subunit ribosomal RNA", at positions 103 to 512 of the family's 1533-position model. Lineage: Bacteria; Pseudomonadati; Pseudomonadota; Betaproteobacteria; Burkholderiales; Burkholderiaceae. The record is from RNAcentral.